This 232-nucleotide unclassified non-coding RNA is filed under the name uncultured fungus. RNAcentral describes it as "sequence contains ITS1, 5.8S rRNA gene". The stretch from base 184 to 232 matches the Rfam family "5.8S ribosomal RNA", at positions 1 to 49 of the family's 154-position model. Lineage: Eukaryota; Fungi. The record is from RNAcentral.
UCUCCGUUGGUGAACCAGCGGAGGGAUCAUUAGCGAGUUUAGGCUCUCAAACCACUGUGCACCAAUACUAUUUCUGCUGAGGCGGGCCGCUCGCUCGGGGAGCUUAGGCCUGUAAAGGUGGUCCGCCGAAGCAACCUUUUACGCUCUUUUGAACUGUAAAGAGAAAACUUUUAAAAAAAUCACAACUCAUAACAAUGGAUCUCUUGGCUCUGGCAUCGAUGAAGAACGCAGC